Galeopterus variegatus (Sunda flying lemur) is the source of this 450-nucleotide long non-coding RNA. RefSeq lists it as uncharacterized. The record is from RefSeq and is a predicted model, not a curated record. The transcript is spliced from 2 exons. NCBI's taxonomy places the organism in Eukaryota, Metazoa, Chordata, Mammalia, Dermoptera, Cynocephalidae.
CAGGGAGACCCGGCCGGCUGGAGCGGAGGAGACGCUGGGGCGAGGAGCCGGCCUGACUUCCCGAGCCUCGCUGCGUGCGGUUCUGUGUAGAGGCUAAAAGGCAGAAGUGACAGCCCAAGAAGCACCUCCUAUUCCCAGCCGAAUUCCAUUUUUUGGCUCUGGAGACCUCUACCCCAGGUGACGUUGUUUCACUGCGGCUGCUAUCAAUGCUUUCCAGCCCCUGGAUGCUUUCAGCCCCUGGAGAUGCAGAGGGAGCCGAGGAUAGUUGCGGGCUGCUGUGGAGUGUCAGGGAAAAGGUUUGAAUCCCACUUCUGCUGCACACAGACUACGUGAGCUUGACCAAGUCCCUUAACCUCUCUUGGAACCUCUGAUAAGACGCUUGUGUGGGUUAAAUCCCUUGAAACUUCUGAUAAGAUGUUUGUGUGGAUUAAAUCCUAUCUGCACGUAGCA